CAGCAGCCACGGGAAUACGUAGGUGGCAAGCGUUAUCCGGAAUUAUUGGGCGUAAAGCGCGCGUAGGCGGUUUUUUAAGUCUGAUGUGAAAGCCCACGGCUCAACCGUGGAGGGUCAUUGGAAACUGGAAAACUUGAGUGCAGAAGAGGAAAGUGGAAUUCCAUGUGUAGCGGUGAAAUGCGCAGAGAUAUGGAGGAACACCAGUGGCGAAGGCGACUUUCUGGUCUGUAACUGACGCUGAUGUGCGAAAGCGUGGGGAUCAAACAGGAUUAGAUACCCCAGUAGUCCCUGUCUCUUAUAC
This 301-nucleotide ribosomal RNA is filed under the name uncultured bacterium. Its description in RNAcentral is "partial 16S ribosomal RNA". It matches the Rfam family "Bacterial small subunit ribosomal RNA", at positions 509 to 807 of the family's 1533-position model. The record is from RNAcentral.